This 106-nucleotide ribosomal RNA is filed under the name Proteus mirabilis. RNAcentral's name for it is "partial 23S ribosomal RNA". It matches the Rfam family "Bacterial large subunit ribosomal RNA", at positions 2820 to 2925 of the family's 2925-position model. Lineage: Bacteria; Pseudomonadati; Pseudomonadota; Gammaproteobacteria; Enterobacterales; Morganellaceae. The record is from RNAcentral.
AAGCGACCUAAAGGAACGUUUAAGACGAAGACGUUGAUAGGCUGGGUGUGUAAGCGUAGCGAUACGUUGAGCUAACCAGUACUAAUGAACCGUGAGGCUUAACCUG